RNAcentral lists this transfer RNA (76 nucleotides) under Jiangella ureilytica. RNAcentral describes it as "Jiangella sp. KC603 tRNA-Ala". It matches the Rfam family "tRNA". Rfam says of the family: Transfer RNA (tRNA) molecules are approximately 80 nucleotides in length. Their secondary structure includes four short double-helical elements and three loops (D, anti-codon, and T loops). The record is from RNAcentral. Lineage: Bacteria; Bacillati; Actinomycetota; Actinomycetes; Jiangellales; Jiangellaceae.
GGGGCUGUGGCGCAGCUGGUAGCGCACCUCGUUCGCAACGAGGGGGUCAGGGGUUCGAGUCCCCUCAGCUCCACGA